Long non-coding RNA from Salvelinus namaycush (lake trout), 714 nucleotides. RefSeq lists it as uncharacterized. Lineage: Eukaryota; Metazoa; Chordata; Actinopteri; Salmoniformes; Salmonidae. The transcript is spliced from 2 exons. The record is from RefSeq and is a predicted model, not a curated record.
CUAACUCUGAAUGAUCGGCUAUGAAAAGCCAACUGACAUUUACUCAUGAGACCAUGGUGACUGACCCAGCACUUCAGCGAGCUGGCCAACAGCCUAAUGUACAGCCUGUGUGGCGUGGAGGUGAUCCUGGGCUUCUUCUUGGUGCGUUGGUUCAGCUGUCAGGUGGAGGAUCGCAUGGUGCUGGCUGUCUGCAGCGCAACCUGAUUCUGGUGCCUCAAUCUUCCUGGCCAACCCCCAGGGUGAGUGGGUGAGAGUAGGGUGAAGUUACCCCUCGACUCUGCCCCACUAAUGGUUAAUGUUAGGGUUGGGGGAGGGGAUGAUUUGUACCUAGGGGAAAUUUCACCUCAGAGCGAGUGGCUGAGAGAGCCUGCAUGUACCACCACCACCCACUGUGUAUGGCAUGUCAUUCCAUACCCAGGGUUGAGACUAAAGUCACAGCAGAGAAAACACAAGGUGGGUGUCUGACUUACAUGGCCACCGUUUGACUCAUGACAUGGCAGUUUGACUCCAUAUCACUUCUGUUACAUAAGCAGAUGUGAUCAUUGCAUGUAUUGGAUCCUUGAGCUGGAUAAACUCCUGAUUUAUGGUUAAGUUUAGACCUGUUAUUUCCUUGAAGGAAUACAAAGAUUGAUAUUAAAGAUUUAUAAAAAAUGAAAUAAUGAAAUGUUUUAGCUUUGUGUUUUAUUAAAGGUCCAAUAAAGCUUUUUUUUGUUU